Molecule: ribosomal RNA, 253 nt
Filed under: uncultured bacterium
Lineage: Bacteria
Also listed under: 1 other name
Description: partial 16S ribosomal RNA
Rfam family: Bacterial small subunit ribosomal RNA
Source: RNAcentral
UACGAGGGGGGCAAGCGUUGUUCGGAAUUAUUGGGCGUAAAGGGUGCGUAGGCGGUUUGAUAAGUCACAUGUGAAAUCUUCGGGCUCAACCCGAAGUCUGCAUGCGAAACUGUCGGGCUUGAGUAUGGGAGAGGUGAGUGGAAUUUCCGGUGUAGCGGUGAAAUGCGUAGAUAUCGGAAGGAACACCUGUGGCGAAAGCGGCUCACUGGACCAUAACUGACGCUGAUGCACGAAAGCUAGGGGAGCAAACAGG